Molecule: ribosomal RNA, 583 nt
Filed under: uncultured bacterium
Lineage: Bacteria
Description: bacterial SSU rRNA
Rfam family: Bacterial small subunit ribosomal RNA
Source: RNAcentral
UUCCAGACUCCUACGGGAGGCAGCAGUGGGGAAUAUUGGACAAUGGACCAAGAGUCUGAUCCAGCAAUUCUGUGUGCACGAUGAAGUUUUUCGGAAUGUAAAGUGCUUUCAGUUGGGAAGAAAGAAAUGACGGUACCAACAGAAGAAGUGACGGCUAAAUACGUGCCAGCAGCCGCGGUAAUACGUAUGUCACGAGCGUUAUCCGGAUUUAUUGGGCGUAAAGCGCGUCUAGGUGGUUAUAUAAGUCUGAUGUGAAAAUGCAGGGCUCAACUCUGUAUUGCGUUGGAAACUGUAUAACUAGAGUACUGGAGAGGUAAGCGGAACUACAAGUGUAGAGGUGAAAUUCGUAGAUAUUUGUAGGAAUGCCGAUGGGGAAGCCAGCUUACUGGACAGAUACUGACGCUGAAGCGCGAAAGCGUGGGUAGCAAACAGGAUUAGAUACCCUGGUAGUCCACGCCGUAAACGAUGAUUACUAGGUGUUGGGGGUCGAACCUCAGCGCCCAAGCAAACGCGAUAAGUAAUCCGCCUGGGGAGUACGUACGCAAGUAUGAAACUCAAAGGAAUUGACGGGGGCCCGCACAAG